UUCUUCUUCUUCUUCUUCUCUCUAUCUUAUUUCAUCACUGAUUAGGGGAAUCAACCCUAGUACCUCACACAGUAUUUGAGUAAUAUAUCAGUUUCUUUUCAUUUAGAUAUUGAAUCUUUGACUACUUCUACAAUUAAGUUUUUCUGAUCUUCCCACCGCAUGCUUUGUUGGAUCACAUACACAAAUUGUUAUUGCCAAAUAUGUUUGAGGAAAGAGGGUUAGAUUGAUAUUUACAAAGAAGUCUAUAUCUCCUAUAGUUCCUCUAAAAGCAUAUAUACCUAAUGUUGUGUCCUUUCCUAAUGAAUGUCGUAGUUACUGGUACAUGUCAAAUUGGAGAUAUAUUGCUUACUUAUGUCUCACAUACUUUAUAUAGUGGUAUAAAUUAACAUGGAGUCAAAAACCAUUUUUAUCACCACUUUACAAAGAUGCUUGCCAACGUCAUCCUAGGCCUGCCCCUUAAAUUCUUACCUCCUAUCACCUCAAUGUACUCAAUAUUUCAUAAUAGUGCAUUUCCUGGUUUACAUUGCAAAUCUUCAAAUUAUCUCAAUCUUAACUUAUCAUCAGUAGGAGUGACUUCCACCCUCCCAAUCCUGGAGGUGCAUUCAUUUCUUAUCUCGUCCAUCCUAGUAUUCCUGUACAUCUAUCUUAACAUUCUCCCUUUUACUAUGCUAAUCUUAUAAAAAUGUUGUUUCUUCUCCACCAAAUAUCAUAAUUGGUCAAGUCACAGUCUACAUAAUCUUUUCCUUCACCUUAGUUGGUAUGUUGCAAUCAUAGUACUCUUAGCACACCUAUCCACAUCAUCUAUUCUACUUUACCCUUCUCGAUUACCUAUUGCUUUGAAUGAUAGAACAUAGGCAUCUAAUCUAGAGUACGUGGGCAUUGUUGGACCUCUAUCUCAUCUAAGCAUCUAGUCUAGAGUACGUGGG
This 926-nucleotide unclassified non-coding RNA is filed under the name Hevea brasiliensis (rubber tree). The record is from RNAcentral. Lineage: Eukaryota; Viridiplantae; Streptophyta; Magnoliopsida; Malpighiales; Euphorbiaceae.